This 549-nucleotide ribosomal RNA is filed under the name uncultured Glomeromycotina. RNAcentral describes it as "SSU rRNA". It matches the Rfam family "Eukaryotic small subunit ribosomal RNA", at positions 548 to 1098 of the family's 1831-position model. The record is from RNAcentral. Lineage: Eukaryota; Fungi; Glomeromycota.
UUGGAGGGCAAGUCUGGUGCCAGCAGCCGCGGUAAUUCCAGCUCCAAUAGCGUAUAUUAAAGUUGUUGCAGUUAAAAAGCUCGUAGUUGAAUUUCGGGAUCAAUACGUCGGUCGUGCCUCUGGUAUGAAUUGGUGUUAUUGAUUCCUCCUUUCUGAUAAACCAUGAUGUCAUUAAUUUGGUGUUGUGGGGAGUCAGGACUGUUACUUUGAAAAAAUUAGAGUGUUUAAAGCAGGCCUACGCUUGAAUACAUUAGCAUGGAAUAAUGAAAUAGGACGUUCGAACCUAUUUUGUUGGUUUCUAGGAUCAACGUAAUGAUUAAUAGGGAUAGUUGGGGGCAUUAGUAUUCAAUUGUCAGAGGUGAAAUUCUUGGAUUUAUUGAAGACUAACUACUGCGAAAGCAUUUGCCAAGGAUGUUUUCAUUAAUCAAGAACGAAAGUUAGGGGAUCGAAGACGAUCAGAUACCGUCGUAGUCUUAACCAUAAACUAUGCCGACUAGGGAUCGGAUGAUGUUAAUUUUUUAAUGACUCAUUCGGCGCCUUACGGGAAAC